UGAACGCUGGCGGCGCGCCUAACACAUGCAAGUCGAACGAUUAAAGCGCCUUCGGGUGUGUAUAAAGUGGCGCACGGCUGAGUAACACGUGGGCAACCUGCCCCUUUCAUUGGGAUAGCCACGGGAAACCGUGGAUAAUACCGAAUACUUCGAGACUUCCGCAUGGAAGACUCGAGAAAGCUCCGGCGGAGAGGGAUGGGCCCGCGGCCUGUUAGCUUGUUGGUGGGGUAACGGCCUACCAAGGCAAUGAUGGGUAGCUGGGUUGAGAGACCGACCAGCCAGAUUGGGACUGAGACACGGCCCAGACUCCUACGGGAGGCAGCAGUGGGGAAUCUUGCACAAUGGGCGAAAGCCUGAUGCAGCGACGCCGCGUGCGGGAUGAAGGCCUUCGGGUUGUAAACCGCUUUCAGCAGGGACGAGGCGAAAGUGACGGUACCUGCAGAAGAAGCCCCGGCUAACUACGUG
Molecule: ribosomal RNA, 465 nt
Filed under: uncultured bacterium
Lineage: Bacteria
Description: partial 16S ribosomal RNA
Rfam family: Bacterial small subunit ribosomal RNA
Source: RNAcentral